UUAAGCGACUAAGCGUACACGGUGGAUGCCCUGGCAGUCAGAGGCGAUGAAGGACGUGCUAAUCUGCGAAAAGCGUCGGUAAGGUGAUAUGAACCGUUAUAACCGGCGAUGUCCGAAUGGGGAAACCCAGUGCAAUUCGUUGCACUAUCGUUAACUGAAUACAUAGGUUAACGAGGCGAACCGGGGGAACUGAAACAUCUAAGUACCCCGAGGAAAAGAAAUCAACCGAGAUUCCCCCAGUAGCGGCGAGCGAACGGGGAGCAGCCCAGAGUCUGAAUCAGCUUGUGUGUUAGUGGAACGGUCUGGAAAGUCCGACGGUACAGGGUGAUAGUCCCGUACACCAAAAUGCACAGGCUGUGAACUCGAAGAGUAGGGCGGGACACGUGGUAUCCUGUCUGAAUAUGGGGGGACCAUCCUCCAAGGCUAAAUACUCCUGACUGACCGAUAGUGAACCAGUACCGUGAGGGAAAGGCGAAAAGAACCCCGGCGAGGGGAGUGAAAAAGAACCUGAAACCGUGUACGUACAAGCAGUGGGAGCACCUUCGGGUGUGACUGCGUACCUUUUGUAUAAUGGGUCAGCGACUUAUAUUCUGUAGCAAGGUUAACCGUAUAGGGGAGCCGCAGGGAAACCGAGUCUUAACUGGGCGUUAAGUUGCAGGGUAUAGACCCGAAACCCGGUGAUCUAGCCAUGGGCAGGUUGAAGGUUGGGUAACACUAACUGGAGGACCGAACCGACUAAUGUUGAAAAAUUAGCGGAUGACUUGUGGCUGGGGGUGAAAGGCCAAUCAAACCGGGAGAUAGCUGGUUCUCCCCGAAAGCUAUUUAGGUAGCGCCUCGUGAACUCAUCUUCGGGGGUAGAGCACUGUUUCGGCUAGGGGGUCAUCCCGACUUACCAACCCGAUGCAAACUACGAAUACCGAAGAAUGUUAUCACGGGAGACACACGGCGGGUGCUAACGUCCGUCGUGAAGAGGGAAACAACCCAGACCGCCAGCUAAGGUCCCAAAGUCAUGGUUAAGUGGGAAACGAUGUGGGAAGGCACAGACAGCCAGGAUGUUGGCUUAGAAGCAGCCAUCAUUUAAAGAAAGCGUAAUAGCUCACUGGUCGAGUCGGCCUGCGCGGAAGAUGUAACGGGGCUAAACCAUGCACCGAAGCUGCGGCAGCGACACUAUGUGUUGUUGGGUAGGGGAGCGUUCUGUAAGCCUGCGAAGGUGUGCUGUGAGGCAUGCUGGAGGUAUCAGAAGUGCGAAUGCUGACAUAAGUAACGAUAAAGCGGGUGAAAAGCCCGCUCGCCGGAAGACCAAGGGUUCCUGUCCAACGUUAAUCGGGGCAGGGUGAGUCGACCCCUAAGGCGAGGCCGAAAGGCGUAGUCGAUGGGAAACAGGUUAAUAUUCCUGUACUUGGUGUUACUGCGAAGGGGGGACGGAGAAGGCUAUGUUAGCCGGGCGACGGUUGUCCCGGUUUAAGCAUGUAGGCUGGUUAUCCAGGCAAAUCCGGAUAAUCAAGGCUGAGGUGUGAUGACGAGGCACUACGGUGCUGAAGUAACAAAUGCCCUGCUUCCAGGAAAAGCCUCUAAGCAUCAGGUAACAUCAAAUCGUACCCCAAACCGACACAGGUGGUCAGGUAGAGAAUACCAAGGCGCUUGAGAGAACUCGGGUGAAGGAACUAGGCAAAAUGGUGCCGUAACUUCGGGAGAAGGCACGCUGGUGUGUAGGUGAAGUCCCUGCGGAUGGAGCUGAGACCAGUCGAAGAUACCAGCUGGCUGCAACUGUUUAUUAAAAACACAGCACUGUGCAAACACGAAAGUGGACGUAUACGGUGUGACGCCUGCCCGGUGCCGGAAGGUUAAUUGAUGGGGUUAUCCGUAAGGAGAAGCUCUUGAUCGAAGCCCCGGUAAACGGCGGCCGUAACUAUAACGGUCCUAAGGUAGCGAAAUUCCUUGUCGGGUAAGUUCCGACCUGCACGAAUGGCGUAAUGAUGGCCAGGCUGUCUCCACCCGAGACUCAGUGAAAUUGAACUCGCUGUGAAGAUGCAGUGUACCCGCGGCAAGACGGAAAGACCCCGUGAACCUUUACUAUAGCUUGACACUGAACAUUGAGCCUUGAUGUGUAGGAUAGGUGGGAGGCUUUGAAGCGUGGACGCCAGUCUGCGUGGAGCCAACCUUGAAAUACCACCCUUUAAUGUUUGAUGUUCUAACGUUGGCCCCUGACCGGGGUUGCGGACAGUGUCUGGUGGGUAGUUUGACUGGGGCGGUCUCCUCCCAAAGCGUAACGGAGGAGCACGAAGGUUAGCUAAUCCUGGUCGGACAUCAGGAGGUUAGUGCAAUGGCAUAAGCUAGCUUGACUGCGAGCGUGACGGCGCGAGCAGGUGCGAAAGCAGGUCAUAGUGAUCCGGUGGUUCUGAAUGGAAGGGCCAUCGCUCAACGGAUAAAAGGUACUCCGGGGAUAACAGGCUGAUACCGCCCAAGAGUUCAUAUCGACGGCGGUGUUUGGCACCUCGAUGUCGGCUCAUCACAUCCUGGGGCUGAAGUAGGUCCCAAGGGUAUGGCUGUUCGCCAUUUAAAGUGGUACGCGAGCUGGGUUUAGAACGUCGUGAGACAGUUCGGUCCCUAUCUGCCGUGGGCGCUGGAGAAUUGAGGGGGGCUGCUCCUAGUACGAGAGGACCGGAGUGGACGCAUCACUGGUGUUCGGGUUGUCAUGCCAAUGGCACUGCCCGGUAGCUAAAUGCGGAAGAGAUAAGUGCUGAAAGCAUCUAAGCACGAAACUUGCCCCGAGAUGAGUUCUCCCUGAGACUUUAAGUCUCCUGAAGGAACGUUGAAGACGACGACGUUGAUAGGCCGGGUGUGUAAGCGCAGCGAUGCGUUGAGCUAACCGGUACUAAUGAACCGUGAGGCUUAACCU
Molecule: ribosomal RNA, 2899 nt
Filed under: Klebsiella pneumoniae
Lineage: Bacteria; Pseudomonadati; Pseudomonadota; Gammaproteobacteria; Enterobacterales; Enterobacteriaceae
Also listed under: 1 other name
Description: bacterial LSU rRNA
Rfam family: Bacterial large subunit ribosomal RNA
Source: RNAcentral